UAGGGAAUCUUCGGCAAUGGACGAAAGUCUGACCGAGCAACGCCGCGUGAGUGAAGAAGGUUUUCGGAUCGUAAAACUCUGUUGUUAGAGAAGAACAAGGACGUUAGUAACUGAACGUCCCCUGACGGUAUCUAACCAGAAAGCCACGGCUAACUACGUGCCAGCAGCCGCGGUAAUACGUAGGAGGCAAGCGUUGUCCGGAUUUAUUGGGCGUAAAGCGAGCGCAGGCGGUUUCUUAAGUCUGAUGUGAAAGCCCCCGGCUCAACCGGGGGGGGUCAUUGGAAACUGGGAGACUUGAGUGCAGAAGAGGAGAGUGGAAUUCCAUGUGUAGCGGUGAAAUGCGUAGAUAUAUGGAGGAACACCAGUGGCGAAGGCGGCUCUCUGGUCUGUAACUGACGCUGAGGCUCGAAAGCGUGGGGAGCAAACAGG
Molecule: ribosomal RNA, 429 nt
Filed under: Chloroflexota bacterium
Lineage: Bacteria; Bacillati; Chloroflexota
Description: Chloroflexi bacterium partial 16S ribosomal RNA
Rfam family: Bacterial small subunit ribosomal RNA
Source: RNAcentral